GGAUCGGUGACAGGUGCUGCAUGGCUGUCGUCAGCUCGUGUCGUGAGAUGUUGGGUUAAGUCCCGCAACGAGCGCAACCCUCGUCCUUAGUUGCCAGCAUUAAGUUGGGCAACUCUAAGGAGACUGCCGGUGUUAAACCGGAGGAAGGCGGGGAUGACGUCAAGUCCUCAUGGCCCUUAUGUCCAGGGCUACACACGUGCUACAAUGGCCGGUACAAAGGGUAGCAAGACCGCGAGGUGGAGCCAACCCCAAAAAGCCGGUCUCAGUUCGGAUUGGAGUCUGCAACUCGACUCCAUGAAGUUGGAAUCGCUAGUAAUCGUGGAUCAGCAUGCCACGGUGAAUACGUUCCCGGGCCUU
Molecule: ribosomal RNA, 357 nt
Filed under: uncultured Desulfuromonas sp.
Lineage: Bacteria; Pseudomonadati; Thermodesulfobacteriota; Desulfuromonadia; Desulfuromonadales; Desulfuromonadaceae
Description: bacterial SSU rRNA
Rfam family: Bacterial small subunit ribosomal RNA
Source: RNAcentral